RNAcentral lists this ribosomal RNA (499 nucleotides) under uncultured bacterium. Its description in RNAcentral is "partial 16S ribosomal RNA". It matches the Rfam family "Bacterial small subunit ribosomal RNA", at positions 28 to 507 of the family's 1533-position model. The record is from RNAcentral.
GACGAACGCUGGCGGCGUGCCUAAUACAUGCAAGUCGAGCGGACUGAAUGGGAGCUUGCUCUUGUUCGGUCAGCGGCGGACGGGUGAGUAACACGUGGGCAACCUGCCCGCAAGACCGGGAUAACUCCGGGAAACCGGAGCUAAUACCGGAUAACACCGAAGACCGCAUGGUCUUUGGUUGAAAGGCGGCGCAAGCUGCCACUUGCGGCUGGGCCCGCGGCGCAUUAGCUAGUUGGUGAGGUAACGGCGCACCAAGGCGACGAUGCGUAGCCGGCCUGAGAGGGGGACCGGCCAAGCUGGGACGGAGACACGGCCCAGACUCCUAGGGGAGGCAGCAGUAGGGAAUCUUCAGGAAUGGGCGAAAGCCUGACGGAGGGACGCCGGGUGAGCGAAGAAGGCCGCCGGGUCGUAAAGGUCUGUUGUGAGGGACGAAGGAGCGCCGUUUGAAGAAGGCGGCGCGGUGACGGUACCUGAAGAGGAAGCCCCGGCUAACUACGUG